Small nucleolar RNA from Mustela putorius furo (domestic ferret), 155 nucleotides. The record is from Ensembl. NCBI's taxonomy places the organism in Eukaryota, Metazoa, Chordata, Mammalia, Carnivora, Mustelidae.
UCUGCAUAUUGUUAAAGUUUGGAGUUGGGGCCGCUAGCUGGCCAAUGAGCUUACAAGUGUAGGUAAUGCACUACAAUGAGGGGCAGAUCCUCCACUAACAUCACAAGGGUCUCUGGCCCAAUGAGUGAAGUCUGAUAGGAAUUCUUGCUACAAGA